CACAGAGUUAGCCGGUGCUUCCUCACCCGGUACCGUCAAUCUCUACGAAUAGAGAAGUUCGUCCCGGGCAACAGGGGUUUACAACCCGAAAGCCUUCAUCCCCCACGCGGCGUCGCUGCGUCAGACUUUCGUCCAUUGCGCAAGAUUCCCCA
Molecule: ribosomal RNA, 152 nt
Filed under: uncultured bacterium
Lineage: Bacteria
Description: partial 16S ribosomal RNA
Source: RNAcentral